This 444-nucleotide ribosomal RNA is filed under the name uncultured bacterium. Its description in RNAcentral is "bacterial SSU rRNA". It matches the Rfam family "Bacterial small subunit ribosomal RNA", at positions 354 to 796 of the family's 1533-position model. The record is from RNAcentral.
GUGAGGAAUAUUGCGCAAUGUCCGAAAGGGUGACGCAGCGACGCCGCGUGGAGGAUGAAGGCCCUAUGGGUCGUAAACUCCUUUUGAGGGGGAAGAAUAGUCCCGUAUAGCGGGAUUUGACGGUACCCCCCGAAUAAGCACCGGCUAACUACGUGCCAGCAGCCGCGGUAAUACGUAGGGUGCGAGCGUUGUCCGGAUUCACUGGGUGUAAAGGGAGCGCAGGCGGAUUGGCAAGUCAUUGGUGAAACUCUCAGGCUCAACUUGAGAACGUACAAUGAUACUGCCGAUCUUGAGUGCGGAAGAGGAAGACGGAAUUCCUGGUGUAGCGGUGAAAUGCGUAGAUAUCAGGAAGAACACCGGUGGCGAAGGCGGUCUUCUGGUCCGCUACUGACGCUCAUGCUCGAAAGCGUGGGGAGCAAACAGGAUUAGAUACCCGAGUAGUCC